Molecule: long non-coding RNA, 4429 nt
Organism: Sarcophilus harrisii (Tasmanian devil)
Lineage: Eukaryota; Metazoa; Chordata; Mammalia; Dasyuromorphia; Dasyuridae
Source: Ensembl
AUGAAGGAGAAUUUAUUGCAACUACCACUCUUAUUCCAGACUUCAAAUGUUUUGAACUUCUUUCAUCCAAAAGACAAUACAAGAACAAAGGUUGGUGUCAAAAAUUCCAUCCAGAAGCUUGUUUUCACUCUUCCCAUUGGUGCUUUCUGGGGAGGGGUUGCAAUCUCUUCGCCAGUGUCAUGUCUGCCCUCUGAUUCCCCCAUUAAGCCCAAAAUUGUCAAGAAGAGGACCAAAAAGUUCAUCUGGCACCAGUCUGACAGUUACAUCAAGAUCAAGAGUAACUGAUAUAAACCAAGAGGCAUUGCCAAACAGAGUGAGAGGAUGAUUCAAGGGCCAGAUCAUAAUGCUCAAUAUUGGUUAGGUAAGCAAUAAGAAGACAAAACAUGUUACCAAGUGGAUUCAGGAAGUUUUUGGUGCACAAUGUCAAAGAGCUAGAAGUGCUCCUCACAUGCAACAAAUAUUACAGUGCUGAGAUUGCUCACAAUGUUUCCUCUAAAAAUCAGAAAGUCAUUGUUGAGAGAGCAGCACAGCUCACCAUCAAGAUCACCAAUCCAAAUGUUAGACUGAAGAGUGAAGAAAAUGAGUAAAAAGCUUUGCACAUUUUUAUUUGUGUUAAAUAAACACAAAUCAGAAGCUUGUUUUCAACUUCUCUCUGCUCACAAUCCAGAAAACUGACAUUAUAGUAAAGUUAGCUAACAUUUUCCUGGUGCUAUAAAAUUUACAAAGUAUUAUAUAUAUUUUCUCAUUUGAUCCUCAAAAACUUUUGAAGAUAUGUACUAUUAUUAUCAUCCUCAUUGUACAGAUGAGUAAAUUGAGGUACACAGAGAUUAAAUGACUUGACCAUGGUCAUACAGCUAGUAAUAGUCUGAGAUAGCCUUGGAACUCAGAUCUUCCUGUCUCCAAGCCUGGUUUCCUUUCUAUCGCAUCACCUAACUUCCUCAAAAGAUCAAAUAAUGUCAAAUAUGUAUAUAAUGUGUGUAUAAUAAAAUGUAUAUUGUGGUACAAAAUUUGAGGGAGAAGGUUAUUAUAUAUGAAUCACCACCUAAGGUCAAGAAAUACAAUCUAUAUUUUCAGUGGAAGGAUUCAAAGCUUUACAUCUUAUCUAGGUAAAUUGAAACACAGUGAGCAGGCAAAUCAGAUAUAGGAAAAAUGCCCCAGUAUUCUCUGAGUUCUCACUUUUUGGAAUAGGGCUGGAGGUACUCUCUCUGUUAUGAAUCUUGGCUCAUAACUGAAAAUUGACAGAAGGGCAAGUGAUGAUUUCAGCAAAUCUGUGGAGAGAAGCAUGUCAGUCUGGAAUGACAUUGCUCCAGAGAUGAAAAUAAUCUGAUUAUUGAGGUAGCUAGUGAGGCAGUGAGUUGCUUCUGAUCUUAUAGGACCUCUGGACCAAUAUGACCUUAUAAUGUAGAAGCAAGUGUCAGUGAUACACUAGUUAAACAAUCUUAAUGUGGUUAGCAAUAAGUUGAGUGACCCUAGAGGGGUUACUGCAGAACUUGUUUCCUGACAGAGAUAUGAUGAGGAUAAUCAAUAUUCAAAUUAACCGAUCCUGAAGUAAUUAUCAGAUAAGUAAAAUGAACAUUUGGCACUUUGUGAUAAAAAAAUGCUAUCUAAGAAUGGCAUAAAAUGAUGCUUAAGGUGCUGAAUGUUACUUUGACUUAUGAGACAGCACACUCAUCAAGAAAAUCUCAUCCUCAGAUUUGAAACAGGAAGUCAUCUCAUUUUGACUAAUCUAAGAGCUCCCUGUGAUAGCAUAUUACAUGUCAUAUAAUGCAAGCCAAUGGAUUCAUUGAUGAUCCAUAGUACAUCAACUCCCCUGACAUAACUGGCCUGGGCUUUUCAUUACUUCAUUCCUUCUGAGCCUAAUUAUCUCUCUUCAUUCCCUGGUCAUGGUAGAGAAUAAUCAAGGUGGGAUGCUAUUUUCCUGGCUAAUUUAUUCUCUGAACCUCUGCUUGUUCUUUGGGAUUAGGAAUGGGGUGGAAAAAGGAGACAGAAAUGUUAGCAAGCCCUGAUCUAGGGAGCAGAAACUAUGCUGUAUGCAUAGAUUAUAAACUUCUAGCUAUAUUGUUGCUGCUUUGUAAAUCUAACUGGGGUGAUAUUUAUGCCCCAAUUGACGAGCAUCAGUUAUGUGUUUCUGGCUGCUCCCACUCAUGACACCUCUAAGCGUGGGCAUGCCCAUGAAGUAGAGACAUUGCAACAAGAUCUAGGGUGGAAAUAAUGCAGAUGAAACCUCAGAGGGAGAGAGAGAGCUGUGAGUAUUUUAAGCACACAGUAAAGAGAAAGAAGAACUUAAAGUAGAAAAGACAAGACAAAAUUUGGGGCAAAGAAGAUAUGCCCUGUCCCUAGUGCCAAUUUUCUAUUAUUAGACUGAUAUCCUAGUCAAGAGAUAGCAAGAAAGGUUGAAGGCAUGUUCUGAGUGGAGCAUCCUAUAGGAAUGAAAGCAUGUGGAGCAAAUUUUUUUUUUCUGAAGGUUUUUCCCCUCCCACCAAGUCUACAGGCCAGCCUACUUCCCUAUAUAAUAAGAAAGAGAUUAAUGCCUUUAGAAAAAUAGUUUACAAUCAUCAAUCAUCAUACAUACAUGUAAAGAACCAAAAAUUCAGAAAUUUUCAGCAACAUUGUCAUAUAAUCAAAACAAAACAGUUCAACUUCUUUGGCAAUAAGACAAUACAAUCCUGGAAUGUGGAAAAUGCAAUUGAAUCCUACUGAUCAAAUAGUAAUGACUGGGUUAUUUGUGAGAGAAUAUAGAUAUUAAGAAAAGAUUUGGAGAAUAGGUUUGGUUUUCUCCCUAUAUUUGCCUUGAUAUCAUUUAUUUCCUUAUCUUGACAAUAUAAACUCAAUAAUAAAUGCAGUAUUUUCUCUUGCCUUAAUAUAAUAUUCAAAGCAACAUUCGGACAAAUUAAUGUUAAGAGCUAGAAUUUAAAAUUUUCCAUACUUAUCACAGUAUUUGAUUCAUAGUAAGCAUUUAAUUAGUAUAAAUGAUUAAUAUGAGAAUGUUUUACAUGAUUACACAUAUAUAAACUAUAUUAGAUUGCUUACCAUUUUAAGGAAGGGAGAAAGGAAGGAAGAUAAGAGGGACAGAAUUAGGAAUGCAACUUUUUUUUAAUGUUAGUUGUUUUAACAUAUAAUGGAGAGAUUUUUUUUUGGUCUGAGGCAAUUGAGGUUAAGUGACUUGCCCAGGGUCACACACCCAGGAAGUGUUAAGUGUCUGAGGUCAGAUUUGAACUCAGAUCCUCCUGACUUUAGGGCUGGUGCUCCAUACACUGCACCACCUAGCUGCCUCUAUGGAGAGAAAUUAAAAAAAAAAAAAAUUAAAAGACUUACUGAGUUUACUUGAAAGUUUGACUAUCAUUUACUUAGUGUGAUCAUACAUGACCAAUUGACAGAAAAAAUGAAUUAGGUAUGCUUAGCAGUGUGUAGCCAUUUAUAUUGAAUACAACAUUGCUAAUUCUUAAAUUAGAAAUAGAGAUUAUGUGUUUAGGGCUAUUUAUCUAAGACAGUGAUAAUUAGCCUUAAAGACUGAUAAUGGAAGGAAUAAUUAAUUUACAAAACUAGAAAGGGAAAAUUACAUUUUCAACAAAAGAAAUGUCUCAAGGAUUUAAACUCUUCAAUAGGAUAUAAAAAGGUGAGAAUAAAAGGCCAUUAACAUGGUGCCAUCUAGUGCUCAUUUUUCAUCAAGCAUAUAAUGACCUUCGUAUAGUAUUGUUCUCCAUGUUAAUAGAGUGCCAACAAUUUGUCAGAUACAUACUAUAGUGUUCAGUUUCUUAACUUGUGGUUUAUGACCCCUUAUGGGGUCUUGCAAUGAAUGGGGGAGUCUUGAAAUCAUGAUUUAUUAUCAGUAAAUAUUUGAUUUGUAUACCUAUUUUUAUAUACCUAUAUACCUGGAAUCACCUGAAAAUUUCUCAGGGGAAGAGAUUGCAAGUGGAAAAAAUUUAAGAAGCCCUGCUAGUAGUGAAUGAAGAAUUAGAUGUGUCAUUUUUUAGUGAACUUAAAAAAUAAAUUUGUUUAUAGGCUGUUGUUGUUCAUCCUUCAUUCUCAAAGAGGACAUAAGGGUGAUGACUUGCAUGUGGGUUGGAUUUAAGUGAGGCAGAGGUGCAUAAAUUCAUUAACUUCAUUCUCUUCUCCAACAUCAUCAAAGUUCAGGGUUAGCACAAAAAUAAAGGUGACUUGUGAUAGCCUGAAUUGCAGAAGGUGAUUUUGGCCUUUCUAAACUAAGUCUUUCUUAGGUCUCAGUUUGUCUGAGGCAACACCCAUUCAAUGACUAAAGACUAUGUAAGGAUUGAAGCAAAAGCAAAGUUUUGUCAUCCCAAAACUAUCAAUUUGGAGUGCUAGGGGAAAACUCUUAGAGUUUCUGACCAGAACAGAAAAUAAUUGCUGUUUACACUCAUUCUGAGCCAAGAACUAAACAAAGAGUUACAGAAGGUUGAUUUUGGGGGCU